Molecule: non-coding RNA, 441 nt
Organism: Lolium perenne
Lineage: Eukaryota; Viridiplantae; Streptophyta; Magnoliopsida; Poales; Poaceae
Source: RefSeq, a predicted model, not a curated record
UAUCUCCCCUUGCUGCCAGAGGAACUGGUUGAAUCUUCAGUUUUACAUGAAUUGUUAAAGGAUAUAUUUGAUUAAAUAGCCAACCGUGAUGAUGACUUCCUAUUUAAUUUCUGCUAUUUUUGAUUGAAUAACCAACCAUUUUAGUUUUCGGUUAUCAACGCCUUGUAAUAUGAUAUCUUCCUAUUUUAUUUCUACUAUUUUGCAAUGCAAGUUACUGUGAACAAAUCAGUUCCGUUUAUCUGUUCAAAGCAUGUCAAAUUUUCUCUAUUAACUGAAUUUUUCUAUAAAUAGGCUCAUACAAGUGGAUGUGACAAGCCUUUUGGAAAUCUUCUCUAUGCAGUUGCCACUUUGUUCAUCAUCCUUCUCUCAUCAACUAUAUUGUGUCAGUGAAGACCUGAAGAGGAAUUUUUUGCACUGCAAUUCAAAUGGAGAUUGAUCAGG